This 3892-nucleotide long non-coding RNA is filed under the name Patiria miniata (bat star). Its description in RNAcentral is "uncharacterized LOC119723864". Lineage: Eukaryota; Metazoa; Echinodermata; Asteroidea; Valvatida; Asterinidae. The record is from RNAcentral.
UGCUUGCGAUCGCGGGCGCAAACCACUCGACUGACGCCGCUGCAAUAGUCGCUAUGUACUCGCCGUCACAUCACAAUGCAAGGCCAGGGAAGCCGACAAACAGUUUGAUCAUGGAGAAAUUUCUCCAUGGUUUGAUAUCCUGCAAGCCGAAACUAUAAUUAUUAUGAAGGUGUUUAAAGAAAUUUGGGAAACAACCGACAGUGCAAAAAUCCUGAUUUGGGUAAAGUAUUAAUUUAUUUGGCAUAGGACAGAAGAUCAAAGUGGUAAGUAUAGUAUUAGUAGUAAUGCAAGAAAUGUGCACUCAGUUUAUGUGUCGCCUAAUUAAACGAAGUUUUGGGAGACACUUUCCGGUUCUAAAUUGUGUAUGACCGUACGUCCGUAGUCGAGUCCCGUAGGAUUUACCGUAGAUCGGUCAUUGUUCAAAUACACUGAAAAUGUUUCUUUGUCGACAGGAUUUGAUGGAGUUAAUGUCACUUGGAUGGGGUGAUCCGUGGGUGGGGUUCAUCGCAACUCUUCCGAAAUUGAAAGUCGAAGGUCAUAUCCAGGGGUCAUUUGAUAACACAAAACAUAUACAUGUAGGGAUCGAGCGUGGAAAAAGGCGACACAUGUGGUCCGCGGACAACUUACUGUUUGACAAGAAAUGGAAGCAAGUCAAGUUUUGUUAUUGAGGGGUCGCGCUUAUAAUUUCCAUGCACAAAUUACAGAGGAAUAAAACAUACAGAAACAAUGCUUUUAUUCCUCCGUGGCUUAUGUGACUUUGUAGGGGAUAGCUCUUGACAAAAUGGUAUUUAUAAACAAUAUGUAUUGGCACAAACUUAGUAACUGAUUUAUUUCAAAUUAUUUUGCUUUCAUUCAAUAUGCAGAUGACAGCGGAAUCGGAGACAACUGAAGCUGAUUAUUUUUCGUGGUUUGGAACUGCAUCAAGGGUGUUUCAAAAUGAGGAGUAUAAAGCGUUAGUGAAUGAGACAACCUCAUAAUGUAUAUUGAGGACAUUGAGAACAGCAAUGAAAGAUAUGAGUGAAGCAAAUACUCCGAGUUAGGAGAAGGAAAUGGGCACAGCACAGAGGCAGUAUCCCUUGAGUUGGGGAAGCCAAGAAAGAUGUCUAGAGUAUCAGCCAAGACACACGGUAAACAACUUUACAGAGGAGAAUAAACAGGCAUGUUUGUCAGUACAGCCGUCCAGCUAAGUGACACUUAAAGAAAAGCCAGAGCCACCUGUUCCUUAUCAGAAAAACUGACCAUGGAUAGUCUCCAAUGAAACUGACCUGCUACGUGAUUGAUUACCUUCAGCUAGAGCUAUAGAUUAGAACUCCGACACAUGAUGAUGGGUCAAAGAAGAGGAAGAUGAGAUUUAAGAUGGAUUCAGCAGAAAGCAUCUGAGCUCCCUGAUCGAGAGAGUGAAUCUUCCAAGAAUACAAUUGUCCGAUUGUUAAGAAUUCUUGUGUAGGAUUGACAUCAACUUAAACCAAGGGGCACUCAAAGUUGAUUUUCAAACAAAACUUAACUUGAAAGAAGUAGAAACACCAAAAGUUCAGUGUUCUGCCAGUUAAAAAAAAAGUGGAUUAAAUUGCAAUGAGACUAAGUGUCGAGCAACAUUCUUGAUGAACCAGUCAUCAAGUAGAUGAAGUGAUUUGAUCAAGGAAUAUCCCUGCAAAUGUCCAUGGCUUGGGAGCAGCAAAUGUUGUGUUACGUCACCUAGUUACAACUUGAUGGUUUCCCCUGGCUUCGAGUUGGGAAUGAUAGAUUGCAUGUUUCUGUUUAUUACAGUCAGAAAGAAAACUCAGAUAACCUUUUCUUGAUGUUUUGCUUCAGUCCUCAGAAUUGCAUAUCAGGGAGUCAACACCUGAUGAUCAGAAUAGUAGCAUAAAAACAUCUGAAGUUAAGAAGCACCAACUGUUACAAUCUAGACUGAGAUGGAAGAUGAUCUGUCAUGAUGGAAGGUCACAGAUUCUUUGCAGACUAUCGAGUGAUUGAGAUUCAACAACAGCACAAGAAAGUAUCAUGAAAAGUUUAUGCAGUUCAGACUGAUGACUCUCCAGACUGUCAUCAGAGUUUUUGGCCAAGGUUGACGGUCUGUUCUUCGCAAAGUCUGACAGCACGAAAGCUAGAGGGCGCUGUCUAAGGAGGAGGAGGCGGGGCUUAGCGGGAGGGGUGCCGAACGUAUCCUUAAGCACAUAUGACUUUUCUUAUGGCAGUUUAUGCAGUUCAGACUGAUGACUCUCCAGACUGGCAUCAGAGUUUUUGGCCACGGUUGAUGGUCUGUUCAUCGCAAAGUCUGAAAGCACGAAAGCUAGAGGGCGCUGUCUAAGGAGGAGGAGGCGGGGCUUAGCGGGAGGGGUGUCGAACAUCAUACCCUUGACCACAUACUUUUCUCAUGGCAGUUUCUUAUGUAGUUUCGACUGCUGACUCGCCAGACUGUCAUCAGAGGUGAAAUUUUUUGGCAAAGGUUGACAGUCUGUUCUUCGCAGUCUGAAAGCACGAAAGCUAGAGGGCGCUCUUUGAGUAGAAAGAGGCGAGGCUUAGUGAUAGGGGAGCUGAACAACUUUUUUUUGUGACAGUUAUGCAGUCACAAAUGAUGGCCCUCCAGAUUUUCACCAGAUAUGCAAGACAUUUUUGGCCAAAGUUGACAGUCUGUUCUUCGCAAAGUCAGAAAGCGCGAAAGCUAGAGGGCGCUCCUUAACGAGAAAGAGGCGACGCUUAGUGAUACGGGAGUUGAACAUUCUGCAAACCAAAUUUACUUUUCUUGUGACAGUUUUGCAGUCACAACUGAUAACACUCCUGAUUUUCAUCAAAGGUGCAAGAUCUUUUUGGCCAAAGUAGAUGUCUGUUUUUCGCAAAGUCUGGAAGCACGAAAGUUAGAGGGCGCUCUCUAAGGAGAAAGAGGCGGGGCUUAGUGAUAGGGGUGCUGAACGUAUGUAAACCAAAUUUAACUUUCCUUGUGGUAGUUAAUUGUGCAUUCACAACUGAUGACCCUCCAGAUUUUCAUCAAAGGUGAACUUCUUUGCCAAAGUUGACGGUUUGUUUUGCGCAAGGAUAACGCGCAAAACCAUGCAUGUUUUAAUUACAAGCACCUUUAGUGAAGGUCUGUGCAUCAGCUUGGAUAAGUGUUUGACAAAAAAAUGUGUUCUUUCAGAAAAAGUAUUUGUUGUCAAUUUUUUUGACAAACAGUGAUAUAAAUAAUUAAAAUGGGACUGAGAUUAAGGUGGUUAUGCAUUUGAUGGAAGUGAGUCAAUCCUCAAUCAAGUGCCCUCAUACACUUUUAUAACUACAUUAUAGGCCUGAAACUAACUAUAAUAAGUUUGUGUUUUAAGCUUGAUUAACUCCAAUGUGUUUUAGUUUUGAAGGUCAGUGGCAGGAAUGUUAUCAAGCUUCAAAUAUCAUCACAUCAAUCGGGGUAGUAAACAAGUCACAAAAGCUACUCAGGUGAGCUGUGACAAAGGCAAACAUAAUUAUGUGAUUGUUCCUAUCUCAGAGAGCUGUGACUUUAAGUUUUCAUGCAAUUUCAUUUUGUGAUUGACUUGGGAUUCACUUAAUGCUUGUCACUUAUGGUUGUCUUGCCUUUGUCUUGAGGUUGACUUGUGACAGACGGGACACUGACUCUUGAUUGUCUAGUGACUGACUUACAUUGAUUUUGGGAUUGAAUUAUGAUUGUUCAGAUGUCAAUAAAAAGACAAACAUGUCAGCAAGAGAAAAUAUAAAUGUGAUGGCCUCACAUACUUUAAAAGAUUUAACUAGUACAACUGAUAAACAGACACUACACACAUGCACCAUACACACAUAGAAAGCUGCUGGCAAAAAUAAUGACAAUAUGAUCUUAUUCACAUCUGAAAUUUCAGCUUUUUUGCAUCACAGUUUCAGACAAUUCUGACAGCAUUUAUGUAUCUUCUUGAAA